UACGUAGGGUGCAGGCGUUAAUCGGAAUUACUGGGCGUAAAGCGUGCGCAGGCGGUCUUGUAAGACAGAGGUGAAAUCCCCGGGCUUAACCCGGGAAUGGCAUUGAAUACUGCUGAUCUGGAGGAUCGGAGGGGGGACUGGAAUUCUUGGUGUAGCAGUGAAAUGCGUAGAUAUCAAGAGGAACACCAGUGGCGAAGGCGAGUCCCUGGACGAUACCUGACACUGAGGCACGAAAGCCAAGGGAGCAAACAGG
This 253-nucleotide ribosomal RNA is filed under the name uncultured bacterium. Its description in RNAcentral is "partial 16S ribosomal RNA". It matches the Rfam family "Bacterial small subunit ribosomal RNA", at positions 524 to 776 of the family's 1533-position model. The record is from RNAcentral.